GGAGGGCAAGUCUGGUGCCAGCAGCCGCGGUAAUUCCAGCUCCAAUAGCGUAUAUUAAAGUUGCUGCAGUUAAAAAGCUCGUAGUUGGAUUUCUGGCGUUUCAUUUCAGGCCGGCCACGGUUUCGUGUGUUAGUGCUUGAGAUCUUCACCAUCCUUCCAAUGGCUAUUCAUCCUUCUUCAUUGAAGGUGCGAGUGGUAUUGGAUCUUUUACUUUGAAAAAAUUAGAGUGUUUAAAGCAGGC
This 241-nucleotide ribosomal RNA is filed under the name uncultured Rozellomycota. RNAcentral describes it as "uncultured Cryptomycota partial 18S ribosomal RNA". It matches the Rfam family "Eukaryotic small subunit ribosomal RNA", at positions 550 to 785 of the family's 1831-position model. Lineage: Eukaryota; Fungi; Rozellomycota. The record is from RNAcentral.